Molecule: long non-coding RNA, 366 nt
Organism: Capra hircus (goat)
Lineage: Eukaryota; Metazoa; Chordata; Mammalia; Artiodactyla; Bovidae
Exons: 3
Source: RefSeq, a predicted model, not a curated record
CCCAUCCAGAUCAACUCGGCUCUAUAAAGGUGCUGCUUUCAUUUUGAAAGUGGAGUCUGUGAAGAACUGCUCCCCUGAAGAGACUCUGAACUUCUGUACUCUACGGCCUUGAGUAGCUUCACCCUCCUGGAAUCGUGGUUUCUCUGAACAGGAAACCCUGUUCAGUGUGUGCAAGCCUAACACAAAAAAAAUUGUGUAAAGAAUAUCUGCCGAAACUGGAAAUCCCGUGGACAGAGCAGCCUGGAGGGCUACAGUUGAUGGAGUCACAAAAAGUUGGACAUGACUGAGCAACUGAGCACGCACGACUGAGCGCGGUCCACGUCCUACCCAAUGAACACGUCACCCAAGCCCACAGUCAGGCCAGUU